RNAcentral lists this ribosomal RNA (252 nucleotides) under uncultured bacterium. RNAcentral's name for it is "partial 16S ribosomal RNA". It matches the Rfam family "Bacterial small subunit ribosomal RNA", at positions 524 to 776 of the family's 1533-position model. The record is from RNAcentral.
UACGUAGGGGGCAAGCGUUGUCCGGAUUUAUUGGGCGUAAAGAGCGUGUAGGCGGCUUGGUAGGUCUCGCGUCAAAACCUGAGGCUCAACCUCAGUUCGCGUGGGAAACCACCUAGCUAGAGUCCGGAAGAGGAGAACGGAAUUCCCAGUGUAGCGGUGAAAUGCGCAGAUAUUGGGAAGAACACCAGUGGCGAAGGCGGUUCUCUGGGACGGUACUGACGCUGAGGAGCGAAAGCGUGGGGAGCGAACAGG